Non-coding RNA from Hordeum vulgare subsp. vulgare (domesticated barley), 127 nucleotides. The record is from Rfam. NCBI's taxonomy places the organism in Eukaryota, Viridiplantae, Streptophyta, Magnoliopsida, Poales, Poaceae.
AUUCUACUCCCUCCGUCCCGAAUUAUUUGUCACGGAAACGGAUAGAAAUAAAAAUGUAUCUAGAAUUAAAAUAUGUCUAGAUACAUCCAUUUCUACUACAAGUAAUUCGGGACGAAGGGAGUAUGAA